Molecule: long non-coding RNA, 221 nt
Filed under: Neogale vison (American mink)
Lineage: Eukaryota; Metazoa; Chordata; Mammalia; Carnivora; Mustelidae
Description: Neovison vison (American mink) KCNQ1 overlapping transcript 1 conserved region 5 (ENSNVIG00000007993.1)
Rfam family: KCNQ1 overlapping transcript 1 conserved region 5
Source: RNAcentral
ACAUGCUCUGAUUCCCAAUUUAAAAGAUCCCUCUAGCUGGAGCAUAAAUCCUGAAACAGGCCCACUUUUCUCUUUAACAUGUUUGGAAACACAUUAAAAUAGAACCGUAAUCAAGCAACCCAAUCCUUAAAUUUUUCUCCCAGUGAGUAUCUGGAAAACAGGUGCAGAGAUGGGUCAUUUGAGACACCAUGGAAAUCUGGUUAAUCCUGCCUGCUUUCCUU